RNAcentral lists this ribosomal RNA (428 nucleotides) under uncultured bacterium. RNAcentral describes it as "bacterial SSU rRNA". It matches the Rfam family "Bacterial small subunit ribosomal RNA", at positions 29 to 435 of the family's 1533-position model. The record is from RNAcentral.
AACGAACGCGGGCGGCGUGGAUAAGACAUGCAAGUCGAACGAUUACUGUUGGGUAGCAAUAUUCGGCAGUGAGAGUGGCGCAAGGGUGCGUAACACGUGGGUAAUUUGCCGUGAAGUCUGGAAUAACUUGCUGAAAGGCGAGCUAAUACCGGAUGUGAUUGCUGGGGGGCAUCCUCUGGCAAUUAAAGUCGGGGACCGCAAGGCCUGACACUUCUCGAUAAGCCCGCGGCCUAUCAGCUAGUUGGUGAGGUAACGGCUCACCAAGGCUAAGACGGGUAGCUGGUCUGAGAGGACGACCAGCCACACUGGAACUGAGACACGGUCCAGACACCUACGGGUGGCAGCAGUCGAGAAUUUUUCUCAAUGGGCGAAAGCCUGAAGGAGCGACGCCGCGUGGGGGAUGAAUGGCUUCGGCCCGUAAACCCCUG